This 497-nucleotide ribosomal RNA is filed under the name uncultured bacterium. RNAcentral's name for it is "partial 16S ribosomal RNA". It matches the Rfam family "Bacterial small subunit ribosomal RNA", at positions 28 to 507 of the family's 1533-position model. The record is from RNAcentral.
GAUGAACGCUGGCGGCGUGCCUAAUACAUGCAAGUCGAGCGAAAAGACGAGGAGCUUGCUGGUCUGACGUUAGCGGAAGACGGGUGAGUAACACGUGUAUCACCUCCCUAUCAGACUGGGAUCACUUCGGAAAACCGGCUCUUAUACCGGAUAAUAUCUUGAACCGCAUGGGUCAAUAGUGAAAGACGGCUUUGGUGUCACGUAUAGAUGCAUCCGCGCUGCAUGAGCUAGUUGGUAAGGUAACGGCUUACCACGGCGACGAUGCGUAGCCGACGUGUGAGGGGGAUCGCCCACAUGGGAAGUGAGACACGGUCCAUACUACUGCGGGAGGGCGCAGUAGGGUAUCGGAGGCAAUAGGGGAAAGCCUUACGGAGCAGCGCGGCGUGAGUUAUGAAGGUCUUCGGAUCGUAAAGCUCUGUUAUGAGGUAAGAACAAAUGUGGAAUUAGCCGUGCAGUUCGUGACGGUACCUAAUCAGAAAGCCACGGCUAACUACGUG